GGAGAGACGAGAUAGAGGAGUGCUCUGACACAACCUCCGAACUGGCGACGGCGACGUAAAAUCCAAGACGAGGUUGACAAGGAGAUCUGGCUCAAGGGGCUCUGCAUACGUCGGAUCUAACUGAAGAUUUUUCAUGGAAAGCAUAGAUCCGCAGGUUCGAGGCUUGACUAUCCCGGGAUGGAACGGAAGCACGGAGAGUGUUAGCAAUGGAGAGCGACCGUGGUUGGAGAUGGUCUCAGGAAGUGUGGAAAGGUGGGAGCUUUUCAUCACUGUUAGAAGCGGAGGCGGAGGGGGAACCUGGAGGUAGGUGGAGCUGAGAACAGGGGCGGUGGGGACGGAGAAACUCGACGAGACGGCGUUGUUAGAGACGACGCUGACCACGGAACAGAGACUGAGAACCACGAAAAAGGGAGCAGAGGACGGUGAGGAGCGAGCGGCGGUGCAAAUGACCCGACGCCGGUGGCCAAAGGCCUCUCCGGCGCCGAGGGAAAUGAUGUGCGGCAGAGCCUCUAUCGGGAGAGAGUUAGGGCGAACUCGGGGCCAUAACGUUUAAGAGAGUCUUAAUGGAUAUAAAAAUGGUUUAUAUCAAUGUAUGGAAUAAAUGUGGCCUAACAUGUUGUAACAAUUGUGAGAAGGAACAGAUGCGGAAACAGAUGAAUAAAAGCGAUGUAACAACGACACAGAGAUUUAACGUGGUUCACCACUUUGGCUACGUCCACGGGCAAAGAGAGAUCUUAUUAUUGGAGGCGAUAUUGAGUUUACAGAGUGCAAGUUCAGGGUUACUUCGAAUACAAGAUAUAUAUAGUAACAUCUCGCAUCUAAAACCCUAGACUAAACGGACUCAUGGGCUUAAGCCCACGAUCAGAUGUAACAUCCAUAAUAACUUGAUGCAACGCUCUUGAUGCAACCGAGUCGGUAUGAUGUACGUGAUGUAACAUCCAUCGCCUAGAUGUAACAUCCAGAUUCAAGGCAUAUCAACAAUUCUCCACCUUGACUUGAAUCCUCUCAAUAACAUAUGUACCAGAUGCACCUUCAAGUGUCAAAUGUACCAGAUGCGCUUCUCUGCGCUAGAUGUACCAUCGCUCUCUUUGCCUCAGAUGUCCCUUCGGACCAAAUGUGCUGCUUAGACGAACCAGACGCCAUUUAACGGCCAGAUGCUCAAUUAGAGCCAGACGUUCGUUAUCAGCCAGACGUCCCAAUAGACCAGACGUCCUUACGGACCAGAUGUCUUUACGGACCAGACGCCCCAACGGGCCAGAUGUCCUUGCGGACCAGAUGCCCCUUCGGGCCAUAUGCCCCUUAGGGCCAUACUAACAGUUUGAGAUGUUUAGCAAGUCUAAGCAAUGCUUAAACUUGCUGUGAGGAACCAGCUUUGUGAACAUGUCAGCAGGAUUAUCUGCAGUUCCUACUUUCUUCACUUCAAUUCGCUUCACAUCUCUCAAGAAGUGAUACCUCACAUCAACAUGCUUCGUUCUCUCAUGAUGAACCUGAUCACUAUCAUAUGAUCUUAUAAUACUUAAACGAACCAUAAAAUGAUAUAUAGAAUGUUCAUAAACAGCAAUAUUGUUAAUGUAUAUUAUAAUAGUAAUUUGUUGAAAGUAUACAAAGUCCAUAAAGGGACUUCCGAAGCUUACACACAUAGUCUUCUUUACCAGGAACUUGUUUUAAACCAGUAGGUUUUGUGUUGACAGUAAAAAAGAUAUGUUUUGCUAUCUUAACUAACUACGCUGGAAGAGAAAUGAAAUUUAAAAAUAAGUAGUUAUUGGAAUUAAAUAGAUUUAGUGAAAAAUAACUAUAAUUAAAAAAUAUAGGUUUUAAAUAAAGCAGUGGCAGUGAUCGGUAAAUACUAUUAAAAGAGUGGCACUUCGAAAAAAGGUAUUCUGUUUUAAUAGUAUUGAUACUCAAAGUUCAUUCCAGAUCAAUACUGAAAUGGAUUUUUUGAUUUUUUUUACCAACAACUUAAAUUACAUAUAAAUAUGCGAACUGAUGUCAAACUUAUCUGAAUUAUAUUGAAGUUUUCUUGUAAUUUGAAACAUCUUAAUGUAUUUUCAAGCAUUUAUCUCUUAGAAAAAAAAUCUUUUUUCCAGGCAUUUAUCUUGCACUUCUUGUAAAUAAUAUGUGACAUUCCUAGUUUUGUUGGUACCUAAUUCUAGAGUAAAAGGGAUAAGUAUUUCUAGGGAGAAUUUCAGUAAUUGACAUUUCAACAAAUCACUACUAAUCUAGCAAAUGAUUUUCACUGAUGACCAAAACUUCAUUAUUUAUCCUAUUAUCCAGAUAGAUACGCAAUAUCUUUAAUCCAAAACCAAAUUCACAAAACUAAGAAAAAGUAGAAUGACUUACUUGUCUGAUAUCCGGAUCCAACCUUGUUGAAAACACUCUAACCUCUUCCAUUUUUCGAGGAGAUGAAAGGGGAUCGUACGUGCAAUUCUGGUAAGCUUGCUUAUACACACUUUUAAUAGUUCCAUCACCGGGAGAAGAAGAAACGUGUUCCAUGAAGAAAGUGACAGGUCUUUGGCAUGGAUCAGGAUGAACAUCUCUUGUGUUGAAGGUGUACACUCUUGCCAACCCGCCGUAAUUUAUCCAUGUUCGAAACGUUUUUUGUGUUCGCAAAACAUCCCGUAGAAAUAAAUGCCUACUCUCAAUCUAAUUUUAGGGACGCCCAAAAGUUAUUUUGAAUUAAUAACCUUAAGUUACAUGUCAUGCAGAAUCAUGUAUAUAGUUAGGGCACAAAACGAUAUUAAUUACCUGAACAGCAUAGCCCCAGGAGACAGAGAUGGUCCAAGAGUGCCAACGGUCGUAGCAAACGGAGACUUGAAAUAUACGGAGAGGAUCAAGUUCUACGGCGGAGAAGAGGUGGCUGACGGCCGAGAAUGUGGUUGAGUUUGGGAAAAUUGGAUCAAUGUGGGCCAUGUGGUGUAGAGACACCAACGGUCUCGUUGAAUGUGAUGUUAAUAUUCCCAAGGCAUUUCCUCUCACAUCAAACUGAUUAAUUUUUUUUUAAAACGACAACAUUUAAUCAUUAGCAAUUCAAUAAAAUCAAUUAAUUUUUUUGAUUUUUUGUAGAAAAUACAAAAAAUCUAUCUUUGUGAAAUAUUUUUUUCUCUCUAAAACAUCUAACUUAAUGAAAGGGAUGGAGUGAAUUUUUAGUAAACCUGAUGGAAGCCAGACUCAUGAGACAAUCCAACUCCAAGCUCAAGCAUACAAGCAUGAACCCUAGAGUCUCCUCCGUACAAAUGUGGAUACCUUUCGAUACAUGAAUCGAAAACUUUAGCUAAAACGUUAGCCAACGAGCUGCUUAUAGCGAUCCCUCCACCGCCAAAUGCCAUGUUGUGUCCGAACAACGAGUUCUGGUAAUAAAUCUCGGAGCUUGCUCCAAUGUAAUACCAUGAUGUGUGGUCGUAUUUGGAGAGCGUUCUUGCGAGGUUUUCAGGGAUGAAUAUAGUGUCGUCGUCUCCAAAUACGUACCAUCUUACUUCUUCUGAGGAGGUAUUAAACAUCUUUACAGUUUCUAUCACGCACCGAGCGAUCCUAAUCGCGUUUCUGUCACCGUGUUUCCAAGUGUAUCUGUUGGGCAAUGAUCAAUAUAUAUUUCAGUAGCCGAUUCAGUUUGGUUACUCUAUCUCAAAAUGUUAGAACCACCAAAGGAAUAGGAUAGGAAUAUAAAUUCUUCAUUAUUAAUAUUUUCUAAUUUUUGUGCUAAACGUGACACACAACUUCAAGUAGUUACUAUAUUUCAAAAUGUUAAGAGCAGUAAAGAGUAAACCGGACACACAACUUUUAAGCACGACGUUAAGUAGUGUUUUAAGAGUACCUCCAAAGGUUAGAACCCUUGAAAAAUUCUUAAACAAAAAAAAAAUAUUAAUAUUUUAAUGCAAAUUAAUUCUUCUGUUAAAUUCUAAAUAGAAAAACAUAAUUACAUCAAUCACAAAAUGACAAGUGUUCCAUGAAUUUAUAUUGAGGUUUUUAAAAUCUUUUAGUUUAGAACUUCUGUUGAGAUUGAACCUUGAUUAGAAUCUCCAACAGAAGAAGAAGAAAAAAAGAGUAGCUUAGAAGAAGCUACAAAGAAGAAGAAGAAGAAGAAGCUUGAAGAGCAAGCAACGAAGAAAGAAGAAGAAGCUUGGAGCGCAAGCAACGAAGGAACAAGAAGAAGACCAGCAUGGACAACAAGAAGUAAAGGGUUAGUGAGUUGUGUAACUAGAAGUUACACAACAAGAAGAAUAAAAAAAAACUAGUUAGUUAGUAAGCUAACUAAGUUAAGUUGGAGUUGGUAAUAGUUGUUAGGAGUGUAAGCAAGUUUGCUUGUAAGCAACAUGCCUAGAAGUAAGGUGCAAGCGGGAGUUGUUGAGUCUAGAGUUGCAUGUAAGCAUGUGUGUAGUAGUUAGACUAAAACUUCUAUAACUAUGUAUGUGUGUUGUUGUAAGAAGGUAUCCAAUUCUAAAAGAAAAAGAGUUGGAGAAAGAACAAUGUAGACAUACAAAGAUUACUCCGAUGUAACAACGACACAGAGAUUUAACGUGGUUCACCAACUUGGCUACGUCCACGGGCAAAGAAAGAUCUUAUUAUUGGAGGCGAUAUUGAGUUCACAGAGUGCAAUUUUAGGGUUACUUCAAAUACAAGAUAUAUAUAGUAACAUCUCGCAUCUAAAACCCUAAACUAAACGGACUCAUGGGCUUAAGCCCACGAUCAGAUGUAACAUCCAUAAUAACUUGAUGCAACGCUCUUGAUGCAACCGAGUCGGUAUGAUGUACGUGAUGUAACAUCCAUCGCCUAGAUGUAACAUCCAGAUUCAAGGCAUAUCAACAAUUCUCCACCUUGACUUGAAUCCUCUCAAUAACAUAUGUACCAGAUGCACCUUCAAGUGUCAAAUGUACCAGAUGCGCUUCUCUGCGCUAGAUGUACCAUCGCUCUCUUUGCCUCAGAUGUCCCUUCGGACCAAAUGUGCUGCUUAGACGAACCAGACGCCAUUUAACGGCCAGAUGCUCAAUUAGAGCCAGACGUUCGUUAUCAGCCAGACGUCCCAAUAGACCAGACGUCCUUACGGACCAGAUGUCUUUACGGACCAGACGCCCCAACGGGCCAGAUGUCCUUGCGGACCAGAUGCCCCUUCGGGCCAUAUGCCCCUUAGGGCCAUACUAACAGUUUGAGAUGUUUAGCAAGUCUAAGCAAUGCUUAAACUUGCUGUGAGGAACCAGCUUUGUGAACAUGUCAGCAGGAUUAUCUGCAGUUCCUACUUUCUUCACUUCAAUUCGCUUCUCAUCUCUCAAGAAGUGAUACCUCACAUCAAUAUGCUUCGUUCUCUCAUGAUGAACCUGAUCCUUGGCUAAGCAUAUAGCGCUCAAACUGUCACAAUACACAGUAGCCUGAUCUUGAUGCAAACCGAGAUCAUUAACCAAUCCUCUAAGCCAUAUUCCUUCCUUCGCAGCUUCUGUUAGCGCCAUAUACUCUGCCUCAGUAGUAGACAAUGUCACUGUAGACUGUAAAGUCGCCUUCCAGCUAACCACAGAGCCGCCCAAGGUGAACACAUAACCGGUCAUAGAUCUUCUGCAGUCUACAUCUCCAGCAUAAUCACAAUCGGAUAGCCUGUUACCAAUCGUGGAUUUUCGCAUCCAUAGAUGAGACCAACAUCAGAUGUACCCUUCAGAUACCGGAAAAUCCGCUUCACAGCUGCCCAAUGCUCCUUCCCAGGUUGUCCCAUAAACCUGCUAACCACACUGACUGCAUGUGCCAGAUCUGGUCUUGUGCAGACCAUUGCAUACAUCAAGCUUCCUACAGCGCUAGCAUAAGGAACUCGAGACAUAUACUCUGCCUCUUCUUCAGACUGAACCUCAUACAUGGUAAGAUGAAGAUUUGAUGCACACGGAGUACUAAUAGGUUUACAUGAAGACAUUUCGAACCUUGUCAACACCUUAUUAAUGUAGGCCUUCUGUGACAAGAACAACUUCUUCUUCCCCCUAUCUCUAAAGAUCUCCAUCCCUAGAAUUUUCUUUGCUGCACCCAAAUCCUUCAUCUCAAAUUCAGAACUCAGAAGCUCCUUCAGCUUCUUGAUGUCACACAUCUUCUCUGCAGCUAUCAGCAUGUCAUCCACGUAGAGCACCAAAUAGAUGAAUGUGUCAUCUUUCAAUUUUCUAAUGUAGACAAAACAAUCAUAAGGACUUUUGAUGUAGCCCAACUUGAUCAUAUAGCUGUCGAAUCUCUUGUACCAUUGUCUGGGAGACUGCUUAAGUCCAUAAAGGGACUUCCGAAGCUUACACACAUAGUCUUCUUUACCAGGAACUUGGAAACCAUCCGGCUGAGUCAUGUAUAUCUCCUCCUCAAGCUCUCCAUGAAGAAACGCAGUCUUCACAUCGAGUUGCUCAAGCUCCAAGUCCUAACGUGCUACCAGCGCUAGCAAUACUCUGAUGGAAGUAUGUCUGGCCACUGGUGAAAAUAUAUCAUUGUAGUCUACUCCCUCUCUCUGACUAAAACCUCUUGCAACAACCCGAGAUUUAUACUUAACUCCUUCUGUCGGCGAUGCUCCAUCCUUAAUCUUGUAGAUCCACUUGCAUGUAACAACUCUUCUCCCUGGUGGUAAUGUGACCAAAUCCCAUGUAUGAUUCUUCUCAUGAGACUCCAUUUCGUCUCCCAUUGCUGCAUGCCAUUUCUCAUACUCGGGACAAGAAACAGCUUCCAUGUAAGUGGAUGGUUCAUACGUAUCCACUUCCUCUGCAACCUGAAGUGCAUAACCCACCAUAUCAUCAAAACGAUAUCUUUCUGGUGGCCUGACAUCAACCCUUCUUGGUCGAUCCUUCGCGAUGCUACGCUUCGUAGCAUCAGGCGGUUGAGUCUCCGUAGACUCCAACUGAACUUCUUCUACACGCUCAUCGUGAUUUUCUGUGUGUUCAUGCACAUUGAUCACGUCAUGAUCAUCUCGCAGCUCCACCUGUUUAUCAGUGCUACCUUUCUCUGCUUCAGAACUGGACCAUGAGCUUCUAACCAUAGAUGCUUCAUCGAAAACAACAUUCCUGCUUAGAAUCACUCGGUUUUCUGAUGGAGACCAGGCCUUGUAUCCCUUGACUCCAUCGCCGUAGUCCAUAAAAAAUCCCUUCCUUGCUCUUGGCUCUAGUUUACCUUCACUUACAUGAUAGUAAACAGUGCAACCGAACACUCUUAGAAGUGAAUAAUCAGCAGAUCUACCUGACCACACUUCAGAAGGUAUCCUGCACUCGAUGCCUGUGUGGGGACCGAGAUUUAUCAAGUAACAAGCCGUGUUGACUGCUUCAGCCCAAAACCGCUUCUCCAGACCAGCAUUCGAGAGCAUGCACCUUGCUCUCUCUAGCAAUGUCUGGUUCAUUCGUUCUGCUACACCAAUUUGUUGCGGUGUUUCCCUGACUGUAAGAUGCCUUGCAAUCCCCGCAUCCUUACAAAACUGAUUGAACUCUGCUGAGCAGAAUUCCAGACUGUUAUCAGUACGAAGUCGCUUCACCUUCUUCUCUGUUUGAUUCUCCACCAAUAUUUUCCACUCCUUGAAGCUACUGAACGCUUCACUUUUGUGCUUCAUAAAAAUUAUCCAAGUCUUCCUCGAAUAAUCAUCAAUCAUAGACACAAAAUAUCUGUGACCUUUCAGUGACUCUACUCUGGAUGGACCCCAACAGUCUGAAUGGAUGUAAUCGAGUGUGCCUUUUGUUCUAUGAAUUGCCUUGCGAAAGCUCUUUCGAUGCAGCUUCCCAAAUACGCAGUGCUCACAGAACUCUAGACUCUUGGUCUUGUGACCACAGAGAAGACCUUGCUUCGACAGAAGUUGCAUCCCACGUUCACCCAUAUGUCCAAGCCUCAUAUGCCACAACUUAGUCAUAUCUUCCUCUGAGAUCUCUGGUGAUGCAACAUAUGCUGAACCUGUAACGGUAGUACCCUUCAGCAAAUAUAGAGUACCUUUCAUGAAACCCUUCAGAACCACAUCAGAACCCUUGCAGACAUUCAGAACUCCAUCACCACCCGAAUAUUUGAACCCUCUACUGUCCAGAAGACUCAUGGAUAUCAAAUUCUUCGUCAUUGAUGGAACAUGCCUAACCUCGUUCAAUGUGCAGAAUCUACCAUCAUGUGUCCUGAGCUUGAUUGAGCCGAUCCCAGCAAUCUUGUAGACAAAAUCAUUUGCCAUCUUAAUCGUGCCGUCAAGUACCUCUGUGUACUUCGAAAACCACUCUCUCCUCGGUGUCAUAUGGUAGGAUGCUCCUGUAUCCAGAACCCACACAUCAGAAGAGUUUGUGUUUCCGUGUACAACAAGAGCGAUGUCACUAUCAGACUUGGCUUCAUCCUCAGCUACUGCAACAGAUCCAGACUGUUGCUCCUUCUUCUUCUUGGGACAGUCUGACUUCCAAUGUCCCUUCUCUUUGCAAUAGUUGCAAAUAUCAGUUGGCUUAGGACCUCUUGGAAACGAAUUUCUGUCUUUCGACUUCCUUUUGUUCCCAUGUCUCUUCACACCACUGACAAACAAUCCCGAAGCUUGAUUGUCUGUCCUUGAGCUGGAUGCCUUAUGGCGUAAUUCCCGACUGUACCCAUUGCUGCAUGCCAUUUCUCAUACUCGGGACAAGAAACAGCUUCCAUGUAAGUGGAUGGUUCAUACGUAUCCACUUCCUCUGCAACCUGAAGUGCAUAACCCACCAUAUCAUCAAAACGAUAUCUCUCUGGUGGCCUGACAUCAACCCUUCUUGGUCGCAUCAGGCGGUUGAGUCUCCGUAGACUCCAACUGAACUUCUUCUACACGCUCCUCUUGAUUUUCUAGUGUGUUCCUGCACAUUGAUCACUUCAUGAUCAUCUUGCAGCUCCACCUGUUUAUCAGUGCUACCUUUCUCUACUUCAGAACUGGACCAUGAGCUUCUAACCAUAUAUGCUUCAUCGAAGAAAACAUUCCUGCUUAGAAUCACUCGGUUUUCUGAUGGAGACCAGACCCUGUAUCCCUUGACUCCAUCGCCGUAGCCCAUAAAAACUCCCUUCCUUGCUCUCGGCUCUAGUUUACCUUCACUUACAUGAUAGUAAACAGUGCAACCGAACACUCUUAGAAGUGAAUAAUCAGCAGAUCUACCUGACCACACUUCAGAAGGUAUCCUGCACUCGAUGCCUGUGUGGGGACCGAGAUUUAUCAAGUAACAAGCCGUGUUGACUGCUUCAGCCCAAAACCGCUUCUCCAGACCAGCAUUCGAGAGCAUGCACCUUGCUCUCUCUAGCAAUGUCUGGUUCAUUCGUUCUGCUACACCAUUUUGUUGUGGUGUUUCUCUGACUGUAAGAUGCCUUGCAAUCCCCGCAUCCUUACAAAACUGAUUGAACUCUGCUGAGCAGAAUUCCAGACCGUUAUCAGUACGAAGUCGCUUCACCUUCUUCUCUGUUUGAUUCUCCACCAAUAUUUUCCACUCCUUGAAGCUACUGAACGCUUCACUUUUGUGCUUCAUAAAAAUUAUCCAAGUCUUCCUCGAAUAAUCAUCAAUCAUAGACACAAAAUAUCUGUGACCUUUCAGUGACUCUACUCUGGAUGGACCCCAACAGUCUGAAUGGAUGUAAUCGAGUGUGCCUUUUGUUCUAUGAAUUGCCUUGCGAAAGCUCUUUCGAUGCAGCUUCCCAAAUACGCAGUGCUCACAGAACUCUAGACUCUUGGUCUUGUGACCACAGAGAAGACCUUGCUUCGACAGAAGUUGCAUCCCACGUUCACCCAUAUGUCCAAGCCUCAUAUGCCACAACUUAGUCAUAUCUUCCUCUGAGAUCUCUGGUGAUUCAACAUUUGCUGAACCUGUAACGGUAGUACCCUUCAGCAAAUAUAGAGUACCGUUCAUGAAACCCUUCAGAAUCACAUCAGAACCCUUGCAGACAUUCAGAACUCCAUCACCACCCGAAUAUUUGAACCCUCUACUGUCCAGAAGACUCAUGGAUAUCAAAUUCUUCGUCAUUGAUGGAACAUGCCUAACCUCGUUCAAUGUGCAGAAUCUACCAUCAUGUGUCCUGAGCUUGAUUGAGCCGAUCCCAGCAAUCUUGUAGACAAAAUCAUUUGCCAUCUUAAUCGUGCCGUCAAGUACCUCUGUGUACUUCGAAAACCACUCUCUCCUCGGUGUCAUAUGGUAGGAUGCUCCUGUAUCCAGAACCCACACAUCAGAAGAGUUUGUGUUUCCGUGUACAACAAGAGCGAUGUCACUAUCAGACUUGGCUUCAUCCUCAGCUACUGCAACAGAUCCAGACUGUUGCUCCUUCUUCUUCUUGGGACAGUCUGACUUCCAAUGUCCCUUCUCUUUGCAAUAGUUGCAAAUAUCAGUUGGCUUAGGACCUCUUGGAAACGAAUUUCUGUCUUUCGACUUCCUUUUGUUCCCAUGUCUCUUCACACCACUGACAAACAAUCCCGAAGCUUGAUUGUCUGUCCUUGAGCUGGAUGCCUUAUGGCGUAAUUCCCGACUGUAAAGCGCCGACCUAACUUCUUCCAGUCUCACUGUAUCUUUGCCAACAAUGAACGAUUGCACGAAGUUCUCGAAAGAGUUCGGCAAAGAUACCAACAGGAUUAGAGCAUCGUCUUCAUCCUCCACCUUAACAUCGAUGUUACGCAGCUCCAGUAAUAUCGAAUUUAACUUGUCAAGAUGGUCGCGAAGCUCAAUACCUUCUUGCAUACGCAAGGCAAAGAGGCGUUGCUUCAGAAGUAGCUUGUUCGUUAGAGAUUUUGUCAUGUACAAGCUCUCCAACUUCUGCCACAAACUAGCAGCAGUUUUCUCAUCCGACACUUCGAUGAUGAUCUCGUCUGCUAGACACAACAAAAUUGUUGAGAACGCCUUCUCUUCUAGAGUCUCCAAAUCAGCUGCUUCAGAUUUCUUCUCUGACAAUGGUCCCCAAAUGCCUUGUUGCUUCAACAACGCCUGCAUCUUAAUCUGCCAAAGACUGAAGCUAUUUCUCCCAUCAAACUUGUCGAUCUUCGCUCUUAUUCCAGACAUCUUCUCACUAGAUCACAACCCGAAGCUCUGAUACCAGUUUGUUGUAACAAUUAUGAGAAGAAACAGAUGCGGAAACAGAUGAAUAAAAACGAUGUAACAACGACACAGAGAUUUAACGUGGUUCACCAACUUGGCUACGUCCACGGGCAAAGAGAGAUCUUAUUAUUGGAGGCGAUAUUGAGUUCACAGAGUGCAAGUUUAGGGUUACUUCGAAUACAAGAUAUAUAUAGUAACAUCUCGCAUCUAAAACCCUAAACUAAACGGACUCAUGGGCUUAAGCCCACGAUCAGAUGUAACAUCCAUAAUAACUUGAUGCAACGCUCUUGAUGCAACCGAGUCGGUAUGAUGUACGUGAUGUAACAUCCAUCGCCUAGAUGUAACAUCCAGAUUCAAGGCAUAUCAACAAAAAGAGUUAGAGAAAACCAAACAUACAAAUGGCAAGGAAAGAAGGGUUGAUGGUCAAGAGAAGCCAAAGAAACUACAAUCAAGAGGAUGGUGAGUUGAUGGUGGACCAAAGAGAUAAUGGUGAAGAAGACGUAGGUGAUGGUUCAAAGAAUCAAGUAGCACAAGUUAAAGAUCAAAGAAGACACUAAAAUCAAGGAAGGAGCGGAAGCCGGAUGAAGCGAUGAUCAAAGUCGAGAAACCAAACCGAGAAGAAUGAGACUUGCUUACCUAAGAGAAAGGAAGCAAGGUGAACAAGAAGAAGCUCACCAAAGAGGGAGCAUGAGCAGGUUGCGCACGCAGCCAGUGAGGACGUGAGAAAAACUCACGAAAAAGAAAAACCGAGGGAGAAGGCGAAGAAAACAUGUCACAAGAAGAAGCUCUUGGAGAUUCCUCUCAAGAGGGAUAUGAGAAUCACAAGAGAAGAAGAAGAGAGUGGGAUCAAGUCCCUAAAUGGAGUUGGAGAUUUAAUCAAGGAUUCAAGAGGGAGUGUUGAGAUUGAACCUUGAUUAGAAUCUCCAACAGAAGAAGAAGAAAAAAAGAGUAGAUUAGAAGCUACAAAGAAGAAGAAGAAGCUUGGAGCGCAAGCAACGAAGGAACAAGAAGAAGACCAGCGUGGACAACAAGAAGUAAAGGGUUAGUGAGUUGUGUAACAAGAAGAAUAAAAGAAACUAGUUAGUUAGUAAGCUAACUAAGUUAAGUUAGAGUUGGUAAUAGUUGUUAGGAGUGUAAGCAAGUUUGCUUGUAAGCAAUAUGCCUAGAAGUAAGGUGCAAGUGGGAGUUGUUGAGUCUAGAGUUGCAUGUAAGCAUGUGUGUAGUAGUUAGACUAAAACUUCUAUAACUAUGUAUGUGUGUUGUUGUAAGAAGGUAUCCAAUUCUAAAAGAAAAAGAGUUGGAGAAAGAACAAUGUAGACAUACAAAGAUUACUCUCUUCUCUCUCUACAAGAACAAGAACAAAACGUGAGAGAGUAAAGAGAGUGAGUGUAAGCUUGUGUGAUGAUGAUACACAAGUGAGAACAAUGAGAGUGAGAAAGAGAAGAGCUGGCCGUGAGAAGAGUGAAGAGGCCAAGCCAAGAAAGAGAAAUUCAACAACUUCCCUCUCUCCUCUCUCUUUAAUUUUGAUUAUUUUCAAUUUUUUUAUUGUAAUAUAUUCAUGUUAGAUAUCUAUAUUGUAGGUGCACAAAAAAAAAGAUAUCUAUAUUGGAGGGGUUCUAAUAAUAUUUUUGUACUUAUAAAAAUCAUACUUUGGAGAACUUCUGAUGAAAUUUUGUGUAUGCUUAGAUAUAACUGCAAAUGUAAUAACAUUUUGUAGAGUUUAGACUUGAAUCUCCAAAAAAGUUGAGAUUUCUAUUUUAGUUUAUUUUAAAUAAUAACUUUAGAUAUAGUUAAUAAAUAAUUCUUUUUAAAAUACAAUGAAUUAUUAUUAUUAUUAUUAUUAUUAUUAUUAUUAUUAUUAUUAUUAUUAUUAUUAUUAUUAUUAUCUUAUAUGAUUUUAACUAAUAAAAUAUCAUGAAAUAAAAUAAAAUAUUUUAGAAAUUAUAACUUGGAGUUUUUGAGAUUUUGUACUCGCAAAUAUAAUAAUAGGCGUCAGAACAAAAUCAAAACCCCUUAAAUAAAAUAAUAAGCCACAAAUUAUACCCUUUUUGAUAGAAUACAAAUUAUACCUGAUUGUUAAAUAAUGAUGACAUAUUAUUGGUUUGCUUAGUUACCUGAACCGAGAUGUAUCUUCGGAAACACAGAUCGGAGGAAGGAGAGGAGAAUUUGUGUGGUUCACAAAAGACGGCAAGGGACGGUCAACAAAGACACACCCUCUCAUUCUCUGAGCAUUCCACCAAAGCUUAACAUAUUCUCUACGUGCAGGCCACGUCUUAAUGCUCGAUCCGAUCCCAAAGACGAUGUGAUCGAUCGCUGUUAGGCUCUGAGGUUGAUCUUGAGAAGAUAAGAAGUAGGCAUUAAUAGUUUCUUUAGAUUGAAACAACGAGAGGGAGAGGAGAAGGUAGACCAAGAAAGUAAAAACAGAAAGUAGUAUGCAAUAUAUCAUACGGGUCGAGAUAGUUGAAAAAGAACAUGAACAAUGAGUUUUCGAUGAGCGUUUAAAGAGAUACAUCUCCAUAGGGGUCGAAAGAGAAAAAAAAUAUAUCUGAAGAAUGAUAAAUUUUAGUCUAUUACCUUUAUAUAUAUAAAUAAAUUGAUGGAAAGAUCUCAAAAUGAGUUAUGGUACGAAGGUGGCCAUAUUAAAAUGGUGGUCACGAUGGCUAUACGCGGCACGAGAGUCCUUUUUUUUUUUUUUUAACACAAACUUAUAUUAUAAAAGACUCAAAGAGCAACGUUUACAACUGAUGCAGAAAGUCCCGAGCCCGGCUCAAUGGUAGAAUGAAGCUAGAAAACAAUACAGAAAAACUAGAGAUAGAACCAUAUAGGGGAGAGUUACGCUCAACAAAAUGAAGAAACCCAAAGAGAAACUUCACUUUUGUUCCCAUGGCGAUUGUUCGAAAGAGCAAUUGAUAGUCAAAAACGACGUUGAAACACCUAUAAGAAAAGGUUGGAAUGUUGACUGGCAAGAACUUUAGGUGAGAAGCUCCAGAUCCGUAGACAACAUUGAGAGAACUAAGUCCUAUUUGACUUAAUUUGGCGCUGAAACAAGUACGAUCAACUUUAAACCCAACAUGGCUUACAGAAUAGACUAGGUGAAUCUCAAGCUCUAACUUCACCUCCAAGGAGGCGCUUGGGGAAAUGAGGUUUGAUGACAGAGCUGAAGGUUUAAUUGGGUCCAAAACUCGGAACUCAACAUUACCGUGUCGAGCCCAACAAGUUGUAACCGAAGACCUAAGCAGACAGUCAUCACUCUCGUUCAACCAGAGUGUGUGUGAGCAAACAUCGGAUAAGAGGUAAAAGGCUUCGGGAUGGAUGGAUCUCCGUGUAACAACUCCGGUGUGAAUGUCGCAUAGUUGACUCUGUGAAGAACCGUCGAUGCUUGAGACGACAUAAUGUGAUGGAAUCGCAGCGGUGAUGGAGUUAGUAAAUCUGGCGAGUCCACACUCUUGCACAAUAGUUCCAGCGACGAGGAGAUCGGGAAGGCCACAAAUCCGGCUUUGUGAAGAACUGUCGAUGCUUGAGACGGCAUAGUGUGGUAGAGACGCAGCGGUAAAAACUUCGUGAGGAAAUCUGGCGAAACAACACUCUUGGACAAUAGGUCUGGUGGUAACUAGGAGGAAAAGAUCUAAUCGAUGUAGCUUAGCUCCAUAGAAACCUUGGUGGGAUGGAGCUGCCUCGAUGUUGGAUAUAUAAUCGGUGGCAUAAAGACCUGUGAGGAAGCUAGUGGGAGUUGGAUGGAGGCGGUGGCUGGAGUUGGUGACUCGAUCCGGCGAAGGGGAGAGACGAGAUAGAGGAGUGCUCUGACACAACCUCCGAACUGGCGACGGCGACGUAAAAUCCAAGACGAGGCUGACACUACAAGAAAACACAGUUUUAGCAAGGAAAUUUAACGAGGAAAACUAUUCCUCGUGAAAUUACGAUGACUUAAUGAUGAAAUUGCGAGGAAAUAAAGUUUCCUCGUAAUGGCCUUGUAAAAUACCGAGUAAAGCUUUUCCUCGUAAAAUCGUCGUAAGUUGACGUGAUUUUUCCGAGAAAAAUGUGUUUCGUCGCAAAUUCGUCGUAAUUUUAGCAUGAUUUUUACGAGGAAAUAACUUACGAGGAAAGAACGAGAAAUCCACCAACUUAACACGUUUUUUUUGCCACCAACCUAAUUUUUCGUCGUAAAUUCCUAGCAAAAUUCAACUACCAGAUUCGAAAAUUUUCUAUAUAUAUGGAGGUUUGAACAUAAUUUUAAGCACACCAACAAGAAAAAAAAACGUGAAAAAAAUGUCGGGCUUGGGAAAUAUUUUCGAGUUGCGGAGGUGGAUGUAUAUGCAUAGAGAUGCUAACGGGAGAGUGACGAAAGAAUAUCUUGCUGGGUUGGAGCGUUUUAUGCAUCAAGCAGAUUCUACACCGCUCGCCCAAGAAAGCGGUAAAAUAUUCUGUCCUUGUAGGAAAUGUAACAAUUCAAAGUUGGCAAAUCGUGAAAAUGUUUGGAAGCAUUUAGUAAAUAGAGGUUUCACGCCAAAUUAUUAUAUCUGGUUUCAACAUGGAGAAGGUUAUAGUUAUGAUCAGAAUGAAGCUAGUAGUAGUAAUAACAACUUUCAAGAAGAACCGGUUGAUCAUCAAUUGCAUAAUGCACAUAGUUACCAUCAGGAGGAUCAGCCGAUGGUAGAUUAUGAUAGGGUUCAUGAUAUGGUAACUGAUGCAUUCGUAGCUCAUGAUGAUGAAGAUGAAGAACCUAACAUAGAUUCAAAAAAGUUUUAUGAAAUGUUAGAUGCGGCAAAUCAACCACUUUACAGUGGUUGUAGAGAAGGUCUCUCUAAAUUGUCAUUGGCUGCUAGAAUGAUGAAUAUUAAAACUGAUCACAAUCUACCUGAAAGUUGCAUGAACGAAUGGGCAGAUUUAUUUAAAGAGUAUUUGCCGGAAGACAAUGAGUCUGCUGAUUCUUAUUAUGAGAUUCAGAAACUGGUUUAUAGUCUUGGGUUGCCUUCGGAGAUGAUAGAUGUUUGCAUCGACAACUGCAUGAUCUACUGGGGAGAUGAUGAGAAGUUGGAAGAAUGUCGAUUCUGCAAGAAACCACGAUUCAAGCCGCAAGGAAGGGGACGUAAUAGGGUACCGUACCAAAGGAUGUGGUACCUACCAAUUACAGAUAGAUUGAAAAGAUUGUACCAAUCGGAGCAGACUGCUGGAAAGAUGAGGUGGCAUGCCGAGCAUACUCAGACGGAUGGUGAGAUGACUCAUCCAUCAGAUGCAAGAGCCUGGAAACAUUUUAACAAAGUACAUCCGAAUUUCGCUAGCAAUAGCCGGAAUGUGUACCUCGGAUUAUGCACAGAUGGAUUUAGUCCAUUUGGAAUGUCAGGGAGACAAUAUUCAUUGUGGCCUGUCUUUCUUACGCCAUACAACCUGCCACCGGAGAUGUGCAUGCAACGGGAGUUUUUAUUCUUGACCAUAUUAAUACCCGGUCCGAAGCAUCCAAAAAGGUCACUUGAUGUUUUCCUACAACCACUGAUAAAAGAGUUGAAGGAUUUGUGGUCAACAGGGGUGAGGACGUAUGACUGCUCAACGAAGAAGAAUUUUACGAUGCGAGCUAUGCUUUUGUGGACCAUAAGUGACUUUCCUGCCUAUGGGAUGUUGUCUGGAUGGACUACACAUGGGAGAUUAGCUUGUCCAUAUUGUAAUGGAACGACAGAUGCAUUUCAACUGAAGAAUGGUAGAAAGACAAGUUGGUUCGAUUGUCACCGUCGAUUUCUUCCAGUUGGCCAUCCGUACCGAAGAAACAAGAAUUUGUUUAGGCACAAAAAGGUUGUGAGAGACACUCCUCCUCCAUAUCUAACUGGAGAACAAAUUGAAGCGCAAAUCGACUACUACGGAGCUAACGAAACAGUUCGCUGGGGUGGUAAUUGGCAUGUCCCUCGUAAUAUGCCUGAUUCUUACGGUGUUCAUCACAACUGGCACAAGAAGAGUAUAUUUUGGGAGUUACCAUAUUGGAAGGAUCUUCUUCUGCGCCACAACCUUGAUGUGAUGCAUAUAGAGAAGAAUUUCUUUGAGAACAUCAUGAAUACAAUAUUGAAUGUCCCAGGGAAGACAAAAGACAACAUAAAAUCGAGGUUGGACUUGCCGGAUAUUUGCUCAAGAAGUGAGUUACAUAUAAAAAGCAAUGGCCAAGUUCCCGUUCCAAUUUUUAGAUUGUCUUCAGAAAAAAAGUCGGUUUUGUUCAAUUGGGUGGCAUCAGAAGUGAAGUUCCCUGAUGGGUAUGUUUCAAAUCUUUCAAGAUGUGUUGAAAAGGGUCAAAAGUUCUCCGGGAUGAAGAGUCAUGAUUGUCAUGUCUUUAUGCAACGACUUCUGCCAUUUGCAUUUGCGGAGCUACUUCCAACAAACGUACAUGAAGCACUUGCAGGUAGUUUACAAUAGGACAAUAAUAUUAAAUUGGUUUAGUUUACAAUAAUAGUAUUUGACUAACAAUGUGUUUAAUUGUUUUUGGAAUAGGCAUUGGAGCAUUUUUCAGGGAUUUGAGCACACGCACUCUUAAAGAAGAAGUCGUAGAACAGCUUCAGGAGAACAUUCCUAUCUUAUUGUGCAACUUGGAGAAGAUAUUUCCUCCAGGCUUUUUUGACGUGAUGGAGCAUCUAGCUAUCCACCUCCCAUAUGAGGCAUUGCUUCGUGGACCGGUACAUUACGGAUGGAUGUAUCAGUACGAGCGAGCCAUGAAAUAUUUGAAGGGAAAAGCAAAGAACCUCGCCAAAGUUGAAGGUUCUAUAAUUGCUGGAAGUUUGACAGAAGAAGUUUCUCACUUCACAUCGUACUACUUUGCGUCAAAAGUACGUACCCGAAGAAGAGCUCCAAGAAGAUAUGAUGAUGGUGGCGUUGCGCCCACAUAUGCAGUUGUUGGUGUUCCAGAAAUCUUUAGCCAGAUUGGACGACUUGGUGGGAAAUCAAAACAGGUUUGGUGGUCGAGUGAAGAAGACGCUCAUAGUGCACACACCUAUAUUCUACUCAAUUGCGAGGAUCCAUUGAUGCGUUAUUUUGAAAGGUAACUUAAAUUGAGUAUACAUUAUAUAAUUGAGAGAGAUUAAUUCAUGUAAAAUGUGAAUUUACAGCAUGUUUGUUUCACAAGUCGAAGAAACAUUUCCUGGUAUAUCCACAAGUGACGUAGACAAAAGAAAAGAUCAACACUUUGUUAAGUGGUUGAAGAAUCAGGUAUUAAUCAAAUACUUUUAAAAUUUUCAUACAUGAAUGAUUUGUAUUUCAACGUUCUUUUUAUUUUUAAAUAGGUUGAUUAUGACGACGAUGCAGAUUAUCCUAAGUGGUUACACGAAGUAAUUCAAUCUCCACUUGUAAAGGUCACCACAUCACAGAUGUAUUUCACACGAGGCUAUACUUUUCACACAUAUGAGUAUGGUAAACAGCGGGCAACCAGUAACUAUGGAAUUUGUGUGAAAGGAGAAACAGAUUUCUACGGAAUCUUGACGGAGAUUAUUGAAGUCGAAUUCCCAGGGAUAUUGAAGCUAAAAUGCGUCCUCUUCAAGUGUGAAUGGUUCGACCCCGUCGUCAAUAGAGGUGUUCGGUUGAACAAAUUCGGUGUAGUAGAUGUCAACGGUGGCCGGAGGUACAACAAAUUCGAGCCCUUCAUCUUAGCUUCACAAGCAGACCAAGUUAGCUUCCUUCCAUACCCACGGAUGAGAGAGUCGGGUAUAAAUUGGUUAGCCGUGAUCAAAGUUACACCUCGAGGACGAAUCAUCGUAGGAGAAGAACCACCAUUGCAAGAAGAACAAAUAAAUGAAGUUCAUGAACCUGAACAAGAAAUUGAUGACAUCCUUCUCAUUGAUCCGCAUAAUCACGAGUAUGAAGAUCUUACCGAAGAUCCCACGGAGGAAGCUGUUGAAGACGAGUUUCAUGUAAAUGAUGAUGUUUCAAGUGAUGACGAGAAUGUCGAUGAAUCCGAUUAAUGUAUUUCAUAUUUGUAUGAGUUUGAUUUAUUAUAUAUAAUUAAAGAUAAUGGGAGUUUAUUUAUAAAUAAGAUAUCGACAUUAAUUAUAAGUAAAGGAAUUGUGUUUUUAUAAUUUUCGGUUUGGAUUAGAAUGAAUUGCUUGAGGUUAAAGGAUAGAAGUGUUUGAUAUAUGAAGUAGAAGAUAAAGAAGAUGUGGUUUGGGAUUUGGGGUUUCGUUUUAGGGGUUUAGAGACAGUCGUCGUACUUUCCACGUUAUCUCACGGGAAUUUUACGACGAUUUAUAAUACAUUACCUCGCAUAUUCCACGGUAACAGUAAACGUCGUAAGAGCCUCGUUAACUUACGUGGACUAAGAGACGAUUUAUAAUUAAAAAAGCGGACCUCGCUUAUUCCACGUAAGACCAAAACGUCGUAAGAGCCUCGUUAACUUACGUGGAAUGAGCGAGGUUAGCUUUUUUAUUUUACUUUUCGUCGUUAAUUCGUCGGUAAAUAUAAACCCUAAACUAAAAUGAAACCCAAAUCCCUAAACCCCAAAUGUGCAAACCCUAAAACUCCCCAUCCUACUUCAUAUAAACUAAAAAAAAAUUAAUUUUCAAUUUUAUUUUAACUUAAAAAAAAAAAGAGAAGAAAGAUAUUGGAAACACAUAUGACGAGAUACGUAAGUGUAGCCCACAUAAAUCUACAUCAUUUGUAUUCAAAUAUCUUCUUCUCUUUUUUUUUUGUUUUUAAACCUUUCAUAUAUGAUUUGUAGCGUGUGUUUGAUUUGUUGUGUGAUACGUCAAAUUCAAAAUUUGUAAAAUUGUUUUCCAACGUAUUAAACCUUUCAAAUUCAAAAAAAUAUAUAUAUUGAAGUUAAAGGGUUAGAAAUAUAUGAAGUAUUAGAUAAGAAAUAUAAGAAAGAUAGGGUUUGAGGUUUGGAGAUAAGAAAGAUAGGGUUUGAGGUUUGGGGUUUAAGAUUUUAGGGGUUAGCAAAAAAAGCCUCGCUAUUUGCACGUAAAAUCGAUGAUAAAAACAAAAAUCGUCGCAAGAACGACGUUAAAUAAAACACGGGCCUCUGUAUAUCCUCGUUAAUUUGCUUGGGCCUUGCGACGAAACGAAAGACGGGCCCACGUAAAAUCGAUGAUAAAACAAAAAUCAUCGCAAGAACGACGUUAAAUAAAAGACGGGCCUCUGUAUAUCCUCGUUAAUUUGCUUGGGCCUUGCGACAAAACGAAAGACGGGCCUCUGUCUUUCCUCGUUAUUUUGCGACGAAUUUUCGACGAACACUAAUCCUAUAUAUAGGCGAAACCGCAGCCCUCUUCAUUUCCUCUCUAAUUCCUCUCUACAGCCUCUCCAUUUCCUCUCAACAUGGUAACUCUCUUUCCUCUCUAAGUAGUUUAGGGAAUUUAGAUUAGGUGGUUAGUUUAGGGAAUUUAGUUUACGAAAUUAGUUUACAAAAUUUAGGUUUCCUCAUUUUAUUAAUUACGUAGUUAAUACUGUUCAUAAUUUUUUAUUUACUCUUGACUUUAAUUUAGAAAUUUAAAUUUUGCAGACUAUUCGUAGACACCAGCGUAGUGCUCACUACUCGCAGAUGUUCGGUCCACCGGGUAGUCGGUUAGACCCGCCUUCACUUCCCGGUUCUUCUUCAGCUCCCGGUUCUUCGGGUCAGCAGGAGACCGUCCCCGAGACUCAAUCUUCUCAGAGAGUCUCGCCUUCUUCUACGGCAUCGCCAUCAGUUCCUCAUGUGCCUCCUCCGGUAGCUCCUCCUCCGAUGCCAGCUCCUCAUGUGCCUCCUCAGAUGCCCGCCCAUCAGGUUCAUGCUGAUUUGAUGGUGCCAGCGAGUUGUCCUUACUCUCAGUACACUAUUGAGGACAUUCUCGGUUUGCCAGGCAGAGAAGGCUUACCGAUCAUAGACCCCGACCGACCUGAAGGAACACUUUGGUAUGUAUGUUACAUUUAUUUUUUAAAAUUCAUUUGUGACUUUAAUAAAUAUUUAAAACUUUGAAUUUGUUUUUUUUUUCCAGGUUUGGGGUUGAUAACUGCCUUGCAACAGAAGUAACCGAGACGAUUAAAGGUUACUUCUCCAUGGCACAUCCCAACUGGAAAUCCACUCCGAUCUACAUCAGAAGGACGUGGUUCAAGAUUUACGCUGUAAGUUUUUACAAUUUAUUCCUGAUUUAUAUUUUUUUUAAAUUUUAUUUUUCUAAACUAAUUAUUAAUAUAUAUUUUUUUUGCAGCAAAAAUUUAAUUGGUCCAUGGGGGUCACUGAGAAGGUGCGGAAAGAGUUUAUCGACAAGGCGAAGAAACGUUUGUUGGACACGGUCUCCAACUGGAAGGGUGACUGGAUCGUGAAGGGCUAUGAGCGGGGCAAACCCUCUCUUGAGAAGGAGCGAGGAAUUCUACGACGCGGCAAUGCAGCAUUAGUUUUUUUUUUUUUGUUAUUGUAUUUUAAAAUUCAAAACUUAUUUAUAUAUUAUAUAAUUUCAUUUUAAUUCGGCCAAAAAAAAAUUUUCUAUUCGAUUUAAUUUCAAUUAAAAUUUUAUUAAUAAAUUAAAUAAAUAUAAUUUUUAUUUAUAAAUUCAGUAAAUAGAAAACAAAGUAAUUUCGUCGCUAAUUCCCGAUGUAUUAACGAGGAAAAUUAACGACGAAAUAUCGAGGAACAAUUAUCGAGGAUUUUACGUGGAUUUACUUACGAUUCUAUUACGACGAAUUAUUUUCGUGUUUCUUACGUUUUUAUUACGACGAAUUUAUUUAGAGGUUUUUGCGGGUCUUUUACGACGAAUCAUUUACGAGUUUCUUACGAGGAAGCACAACGACCGCGUUACGUGGAAACCCCACGUGGUCUUUACGACGAAAACUUAAUUCUUCUUUACGAGGAAAAUAUAACCUCGCUAAUUAACGAGGAAAUGGCGACGAAUCUUCUCUUACGACAAUCAUAUAACGACGAAACGCCUUUCAUCGCCAUUUCUUCGUAAGCCUUCUUUUCCGAGGAAAUAACGACGAUUUUGGCCGUCGUUAAAUUUGUGUUUUCUUGUAGUGUGAGAUGUAGAUCUGGCUCGGACUCUGCAUAUGUCGGAUAUGACUGAAGAUUUUUAAGGGAAAGCAUAGAUCCGUAGGUUCGAAGCUUGACUAUCCCGGGAUGGAACGGAAGCACGACGAUAAGCAGUUCGACGACACAGGGAGACAGCGUUGAAACUCCGAUGAACGAGGUGAAUGGCCGUCUUGGAGAGCAGCAGUGGUUGAAGAUGGAGAGUGAUAGCAAUGGAGAGCGACCGUGGUUGGAGAUGGCCUCAGGAAGAGUGGAAAGGUGGGAGCUUUUCUUCACUGUUAGAAGCGGAGGCGGAGGGGUAACGCGGAGGUAGGUGGAGCUGAGAACAGGGGCGGUGGUGACGGAGAAACUCGACGAGACGGCGUUGUUAGAAACGACGCGGACCAUGGAACAAAGACUGAGAACCACGAAAAAGGAAGCAGAGGACGGUGAGGAGCGAGCGGCGGUGCAAAUGACCCGACGCCGGUGGCCAAAGGCCUCUCCGGCGCCGAGGGAGAUGAUGUGCGGCAGAGCCUCUAUCGGGAGAGAGUUAGGGCGAACUCGGGGC
This 22477-nucleotide long non-coding RNA is filed under the name Brassica napus (rape). RNAcentral's name for it is "long non-coding RNA (BNAP_LNC002369)". The record is from RNAcentral. Lineage: Eukaryota; Viridiplantae; Streptophyta; Magnoliopsida; Brassicales; Brassicaceae.